Molecule: long non-coding RNA, 338 nt
Filed under: Equus asinus (donkey)
Lineage: Eukaryota; Metazoa; Chordata; Mammalia; Perissodactyla; Equidae
Description: lncRNA (ENSEASG00005026779.1)
Source: RNAcentral
GUUUUCUGACUCAGAAGAGAACUUCCUUUUUCUGAUUUAGGUGACAACAUGUCCCAGAAUUUACUUGGAAGUGAAGCCUACACACCUUGCUUAGUUUCUAUCGGGGCAGGAAGAUGACAAACAGGCCAAACUCGAUGAGGCGUCAUAGGAACUUUCACACUUGAAAAAGGAUGGCUCCAGGAAUAUCCUACCAUCUGCCUUGUAUCAUGACAUGAAGGCGCUGGCCCAGGUUUUACCGCAAUGUGAAUGUGUCCUAUGGCUUCCAGCACUGAAAAGAUGAGGCUAAGAAGAAACCAACGUUUAAACUCACGAUCCAGAAGCAAGGCUGUGGAAAAUUA